This 72-nucleotide transfer RNA is filed under the name Camelus ferus (Wild Bactrian camel). It matches the Rfam family "tRNA". From Rfam's summary of the family: Transfer RNA (tRNA) molecules are approximately 80 nucleotides in length. The record is from Rfam by way of RNAcentral. Lineage: Eukaryota; Metazoa; Chordata; Mammalia; Artiodactyla; Camelidae.
GAGGGUGUAGCUCAGGGGUAGAGCAUGUGCUUAGCACGCACGAGGUCCUGGGUUCAGUCCCCAGGACCCCCU